This 246-nucleotide ribosomal RNA is filed under the name uncultured bacterium. Its description in RNAcentral is "partial 16S ribosomal RNA". It matches the Rfam family "Bacterial small subunit ribosomal RNA", at positions 57 to 305 of the family's 1533-position model. The record is from RNAcentral.
GCAAGUCGAGCGGUAACAUUUCAAAGCUUGCUUUGAAGAUGACGAGCGGCGGACGGGUGAGUAAUGCCUAGGAAAUUGCCUUGAUGUGGGGGAUAACCAUUGGAAACGAUGGCUAAUACCGCAUAAUGUCUACGGACCAAAGGGGGCUUCGGCUCUCGCCUUUAGAUUGGCCCAAGUGGGAUUAGCUAGUUGGUGAGGUAAUGGCUCACCAAGGCGACGAUCCCUAGCUGGUCUGAGAGGAUGAUC